GUUGAAUACAGGUAUGGAGUUUGACUCAGUGCUAAGCUCCCCAGAAGCUCUGAUGUCAUGCAAUGUGAAGUUUGAACCCUAGCCCUCCAUCAGUGGCUUGUGAUUUUGAGCAAACCACCUUUCUCAGAGCCUCAACUUCCUCAUCUGUGGAGUGGGAAUGGCCACCUCUCCCAGCAGGCUGUGGACACAGUGAGGGGCUCAGUGACAGCGGCUGGCAGGAGCUGGAUGGAGCUCUGGAUCUUUGUCAUGAUGCUUUGAGGGCCACAGGUGACGGCUCCCUUGGUGUUUCAAUAAAAAAACAGACCACAAGUGAUUCUGCGCAGAACAAUAUGACCAUGCAACCCAAGUGGACCCAUAUGGAACCAAACAAGAAGAGCCAAUCCCUAAAAGAAAAUGGGGUGAUGUUUCUCAAAGGAGGAGCUAAAGUGGGGUGGGGGGAGGGAGAGAUGUGUUCACUAUACUUGGGACAUCUUGUGGCCAAAAUCUUAGAAAACAAGAAUAAUACAUUUAUUAGUAAAGAAACAAGAGGGCACUUCCGGGAAUGAGGUAGCCUGGAAAUGGAGCUUGCCCUCGCCUUGUAUUCCUGUUCCCACCACUCAUGCCCUUUAGGACCGGCCCUUCCCAUUCCUUCCUGGACUGUAUGGGGAAGGCCUGAAUGCCAUCACCAAGUUUUGGAAAUCUUGAGAGAUGGUGUGCUCUGAGACUAAGAGGAUGAACUUGGGUUUUGGCAGAUUUGGAUUCUAUUUUGGACUCCAGUCCUUUUUUGCAAGGUGGCAACUUUCUUUUUCUAAACCAGUACUUCUUCACCCGUAGAAUAAAUAAAAUGACAGUACUUCUGCCAAAGCAUCAUUGUGAAAUUUUAAUGAGAGUACUAACGGUGGUAGAUUAACCAGUGGUCAGUUUGUAAUACCCGUUGAACUGAGUCAGCGUGAUUCUGGGUAUGGAAGGUCCACCUGAAGAUCGUUGCCAAUUUCA
This 975-nucleotide long non-coding RNA is filed under the name Cavia porcellus (domestic guinea pig). RNAcentral describes it as "lncRNA (ENSCPOG00000031300.1)". Lineage: Eukaryota; Metazoa; Chordata; Mammalia; Rodentia; Caviidae. The record is from RNAcentral.